This 292-nucleotide ribosomal RNA is filed under the name uncultured bacterium. RNAcentral describes it as "partial 16S ribosomal RNA". RNAcentral also lists the same sequence under 1 other name. The record is from RNAcentral.
GGACUACCGGGGUAUCUAAUCCUGUUCGAUACCCACGCUUUCGAGCAUCAGCGUCAGUUGCGCUACAGUAAGCUGCCUUCGCAAUCGGAGUUCUUCGUGAUAUCUAAGCAUUUCACCGCUACACCACGAAUUCCGCCUACUUUCGGCGCACUCAAGCCCCCCAGUUCGCGCUGCAAGUCGGAUGUUGAGCACCCGCAUUUCACAACACGCUUAAGGGGCGGCCUACGCUCCCUUUAAACCCAAUAAAUCCGGAUAACGCCCGGACCUUCCGUAUUACCGCGGCUGCUGGCAC